Molecule: long non-coding RNA, 2549 nt
Organism: Electrophorus electricus (electric eel)
Lineage: Eukaryota; Metazoa; Chordata; Actinopteri; Gymnotiformes; Gymnotidae
Source: RefSeq, a predicted model, not a curated record
CCUUCAUCAGCUGCUCGAUCUGAGGAUUAGGAGCGGGGAUGCUGUAACCACCGACUAUGACCUCCUGUCCAGCAGGGGGCAGUGCAGGUGCUCCAGACUUAGGCGUAGGUGACCUCAGUUGGUUUCCCAGUGCUGGAUCUAUAUGACGGUAGACACCUGCCAUCCCACCUCUGUAAAAACAGGCACCCAAAUAGUGGCCCACACAGCAGGGAAGAGAACACAAAGGAGAGAGCUGUGUCCUCACCCAGAGAUGGCAAGUCCACUACAGAGUGGCCAAAUUUAUCCCCUCCCGCCCACGGGCCAGUCUCGAUCUGCUGGGCGGCGCUUUCUCCCGGACUAUUCUGGACGUACGCUAAUUGCGUCUGCAUAUUCCCCGGCAUUCCAAGCCUGCGGCGUGGAGUCUAAAGGGGGAAGCUGAGACACAGGGCCGGAGACACGCGGUCGGCGUGUUCGCCGCUCUGCGGUGGGCUCCGCUCCAACACGUAGCGUUGGCUAAAUUUUUCAGGCCAGAGGGUUCAUGCCACGCACGGGCGCAGUAACCAGGACGUGGCAGCUCAGCCCCAACACAGUGCAUUCAGGUGUACGUGCACGCCACAAACAUUACUGUGAACUACAGAAAAAUGACUUAUGGAAGACCAGUGGAAUUGGUGGGGUAAAAAAGCUCUGAAGAACAUGGACGCAUUAAAAUCAUUAGGAGCAGAUUUAGGCAUCGGAAAACAUGAAGCACUGCUGUGUGUCUUCCAGACAGGCAAAGAAAAGAUGUCAGUAAGGUAAUUAGACUCUGUUCAACCCCAAAAAGAAUCACUGCCAGACUGAAAGCAACCAUAGCUCGGAUCCGUCAGACUCCCUUCAUCAUACUGCUUCGCCUCUUCAAGAGUUUGUGAACCCCCUCCAGCCAGUGCAAACAGCACAGGGCCGACUGAGCAAACAUCUCAGAGCUGCCCAUCUAGUGCUCAUGGGGGAACCCGGGCCCGUGACGUCCUCUUGUGUGCAAUAGUGUGGGUGUGAGGGUGAAGAUGCGGAUGAUGCCUGGUGCCCACCAGCACCGUGGGAGCAGGAGAGGAAGGUGCAGGGGACUGCGAGCGACGGAUGUCAUGUGCAGGCUUGGAGAUUUCUCAGGCAGUGCAUCAGUGCCGGACAGAUAAGCCUCACCUUCAAUGGCCCGGGCUCUUUCUCUCACGCACACACACACACACACACAUAUACACACACACACACAUACACACACACAUACACACACAGAAAGAGACUACCUGUUCACAGUGACUGAUAUUAAACAUAGAACCACGUUGACAAAGUACAGACUCAGUGAAACACAGAAACGUUCACAAGUUUCUCAUCAAAUUUACUUUACUAAAUUUGAGAUGAUAAACCUCAACUGUAGAUGUCUAAAACUGACAAACUGCCCUAAAAAGACAGCAGCACUUUAGCUGGGCAAUACACAUCUGCCUGCCAUAACAUGAGGGACAGUGAAUGGCCCACCAUAACACAACACACAUGUUGCUGUGUUGCCAUGUGAACACCUAUAUGCAUUUAUCUAUGUAUUCAUUUCAUAUAUUUACACAUUUCUUCCUUCUCUCCUUACCAUUUAAUUUCUUUCUUUUCAGUUUUUCCUUUCUCAUCUUGACUUCAAGUAUUAAUUCAUGCCAGAUAGUUCCUUCAUGUUAAUUAUUAUUAACAUGAAACAUUGACAAUAACAAUUUCCUAAAUAUCACAAAUGAUCACUCCUGUUGUUUUUCUACAAUACUGCUUUGGGAGGGUAGAGAGAGAGAGAGAGAGAGAGAGAGAGAAGUGGAAAAGAAAGCGCGAGAUCGGGAGUAAGAGGGUGUGGGAAAGGGCCCAAGAUAACUGAAAAUACACCUCCUGACUUCUACCCAGAAGAACAACAAAUCAUGAGAUAUAACCAUAUGAGAUUAGACAUGUUCUUCAGCCUGGUUGGUGUAUGAUUACAUCACGUAAACGUCUCUGCACAUCUGUUGGAGCACUAUAAAGACGAGGGAAUAAAAGCUCUCGGUAGGAGUCUGCGUGCUCUGGUUCCCGCGUGUGAGCGCUCAUUACCAUUCUCACUGCAAUUCCAUGAUGUCCUGCUGGGGAUCGAAAUUCCUAGGAUUCCUCUGGCUCUCCCCAGAGCUUCUCAGAGGCAAAGUGCCAUGAUUUCCUGCUCACAAAUGGGCGAGACAGGAUGAAGUGUGCUCGGUGAAUCAUCUCUGCUCAGAAUAUGAAGAAAUUUAUAAACAUCCAGGACUGAGACUGACUUUACUACAUAGAUGUGCCGCAAGUCAACAAUUUAAGUCACAGUUUCUCAGAAGCAAUCAGCACCAUAAAACAAACAUAAAACAGCACUGUUCACCUUUGAUUGGUAGAACAAGUAUCCCACUGUACACUCCCUCUUAUAUGAACACGGGGUCGAGAUUGGUUCUUCUCUGUUGUGUAAUGUCUGUCUGUGUUCCAAACACCCUUACUCAAAUUUCUAAAGCUGAAACUGCAAACUCUCUUGGAAAUAAGAGGUAAUAAAAUUGUAAUAAAGGUAAUAAGAGGUAAUAAAGAUG